AACGAACGCUGGCGGCAUGCCUAACACAUGCAAGUCGAACGAGACCUUCGGGUCUAGUGGCGCACGGGUGCGUAACGCGUGGGAACCUGCCCUUAGGUUCGGAAUAACUCCCCGAAAGGGGUGCUAAUACCGGAUAAUGUCUUCGGACCAAAGAUUUAUCGCCUUUGGAUGGGCCCGCGUUGGAUUAGCUAGUUGGUAGGGUAAAAGCCUACCAAGGCGACGAUCCAUAGCUGGUCUGAGAGGAUGAUCAGCCACACUGGGACUGAGACACGGCCCAGACUCCUACGGGAGGCAGCAGUGGGGGAUACUGGACAAUGGGCGAAAGCCUGAACCAGCAAUGCCGCGUGAGUGAUGAAGGCCGUAGAGUUGUAAAGCUCUUUUACCCGGGAUGAUAAUGACAGUACCGGGAGAAUAAGCUCCGGCUAACUCCGUG
RNAcentral lists this ribosomal RNA (433 nucleotides) under uncultured bacterium. RNAcentral describes it as "partial 16S ribosomal RNA". It matches the Rfam family "Bacterial small subunit ribosomal RNA", at positions 29 to 507 of the family's 1533-position model. The record is from RNAcentral.